UUUUGCUCGACUGUCCUUUAUUUGGCUCAUCACAACCGAAGGGGUAUCGAGCUUUCUACUCAGGACUCUCUCCAGCUGUACUCGCCUUGUUCCAACCGCACCGCUAUCCCCUGGACUUAAAGCCCAGUCGCCGCUGGGGACAGGGUAAGAGCCGUCUGUGCACCUAAACGAGCGUGGCGCGAAGAUCCGGAGGCAGAUUCGGACACACUCCCCGAUCAUCUGGGAUGAUCGGUCCGGAGCCAGCGCCAUUGGCUUCUCUCAAAGCUCAGCCCGUCUAAGACCUGUGAUCGGAACCCGGAGACCUUGAAACUCUCGGAAGCCGCGUUUUAAAACCGGGAGCGAGAAAGAAAGAGAUGAAGGAGAGGGAGGGAAGAAAGGAGGAAGGUAGGAAUGCCUAAGGAACCCCCGAGUUAGUGGCGUCUCCUACCAUCAGCCGCAGACCGAACCUUCGGAGGAUUCCAACCCCAACCUUCAAGCCAGUUGAAAAUGAAGGGAACAACAUAUCCCCUGUCCGGAUUCCAGGCUCUCAGGAUCUGCUUCCCUGAUGGCUCAGUGGUAAAGAAUCCACCUUGCAAUGCAAUGGACACAGGUUCAAUCCCUGGUCUGGGAAGAUCCCACAUGCCUCAAAGCAAAUAAGGCCACACGCCACAACUACUCAGCCUGUAUUCCAGAGCCCACGAGCCGCAACUACUGAAGCCCGUGGAUUCUGGAGCCUGUGUUCCACAACAAGAAAAGCCACUACAACGAGAAGCCCUCGGCACUGCAAUGAAAGAGUAACCCCUGCUCACUGCAACUAGAGAAAGUCCAUGCAGCAACAAAGACCCAGUACAGCCAAAAAGAAAUAAAUAAAACAUAGUCGAUCAGGGAAUUCCCUGGCAAUCUAGUGGUUAGGACUCAGUGGUUUCAUUUAUUGCUAAGGCCCAGGUUCAAUCCCUAGUUGGGAAACUAAGACCCUGUAAGCCAAGCAACUCAGCUAAAACACCAAAAGAACCCAGGAAACAAUAGUCAUAUCACCUUCUUUUCAGUACCUAUUUUCUAUUUUUCCUGCUCAACUGGAUUAGUUAGAACCUCUUGGGAAGCAAUGAAUAAGUGUUGAUAGUAGGUACUCUUCCUGUGUUCACUAUCUUAAGGGGAUAUCUCAAUAGUUUCUCAGCAUGAAAACUAUUUGCUGUGUGUUUUCUCAUAAACUCCUUUUAUCACUUCCCAAAAGUUUGGUCAUAGUUCUAAUUGUCUAAGAGGCUUUAUCACGAAUGAAUAUCCAAAAUGUAUUAUAUAUAAAUUUAUUAUAUAUUUAUUAUAUAUAUAUCAAGUGAUUUUUCUCAUUUGAUCUUCUAAUCUGUCAAGUUACAAACUGAUUGAUUUUCUAGUGCUAAAAUGAACAUUAAAUUCCUCAUUUAGAUACAGUGCUAUGUGUCAAUUAUAUCUCAGUAAAACUAGAAGAAAAAAAUAAAUGAAUUCCUGAUUCAAAUCA
This is a long non-coding RNA of Capra hircus (goat), 1471 nucleotides long. RefSeq lists it as uncharacterized. NCBI's taxonomy places the organism in Eukaryota, Metazoa, Chordata, Mammalia, Artiodactyla, Bovidae. The transcript has 3 exons. The record is from RefSeq and is a predicted model, not a curated record.